This 301-nucleotide ribosomal RNA is filed under the name uncultured bacterium. RNAcentral describes it as "partial 16S ribosomal RNA". It matches the Rfam family "Bacterial small subunit ribosomal RNA", at positions 509 to 808 of the family's 1533-position model. The record is from RNAcentral.
CAGUCGCCGCGGUAAUACGUAGGUCCCGAGCGUUGUCCGGAUUUAUUGGGCGUAAAGCGAGCGCAGGCGGUUAGAUAAGUCUGAAGUUAAAGGCUGUGGCUUAACCAUAGUACGCUUUGGAAACUGUUUAACUUGAGUGCAAGAGGGGAGAGUGGAAUUCCAUGUGUAGCGGUGAAAUGCGUAGAUAUAUGAAGGAACACCGGUGGCGAAAGCGGCUCUCUGGCUUGUAACUGACGCUGAGGCUCGAAAGCGUGGGGAGCAAACAGGAUUAGAUACCCCGGUAGUCCCUGUCUCUUAUACA